Molecule: unclassified non-coding RNA, 497 nt
Filed under: Hevea brasiliensis (rubber tree)
Lineage: Eukaryota; Viridiplantae; Streptophyta; Magnoliopsida; Malpighiales; Euphorbiaceae
Source: RNAcentral
UUAUUGUCCGCUUAAGGAUUGUUCCGCGCUUUUGAUUGAUGAAAAUGGUAAGGAUUCUGUUGUGAUUCAGUCUGAAUGCCCGGAGUGUAGGAGGUUGUUCUGUGCCAUGUGUAAAGUUGCUUGGCAUUCGGGGAUUGUAUGUGCUGAAUUUCAGAAGUUGAAUAAGGACGAGAGGGAAAGAGAGGAUUUGCAGCUUAUGCAACUUGCUAAGGGUCAAGAAUGGCAGAGAUGUCCGCAGUGUAGGAUAUAUGUCGCGAGAGCUUCUGGUUGCGCUCAAAUGGUUUGUAGGUGUGGAUGUAGCUUUUGUUAUAAAUGUGGAGCUAAGUCAGCUGAUCACCAUUGCACACGCUGUGGUAUAUUGAACAGAUUGUAGAUACCUCCAGAGGUGCAAAUGCGCGAUUUCUAGUUUUUCUUUUUUCGUCGCUCUAGGGGUAUUUUAGUGAUAGGUUCUUAUGGUAUAACUUGUUGAUAUUGAUUUUCAGAUUUUGUGAAUUAGA